GGUGAACCUGCGGAAGGAUCAUUACCGAGUGUAGGGUUCCUAGCGAGCCCAACCUCCCACCCGUGUUUACUGUACCUUAGUUGCUUCGGCGGGCCCGCCAUUCAUGGCCGCCGGGGGCUCUCAGCCCCGGGCCCGCGCCCGCCGGAGACACCACGAACUCUGUCUGAUCUAGUGAAGUCUGAGUUGAUUGUAUCGCAAUCAGUUAAAACUUUCAACAAUGGAUCUCUUGGUUCCGGCAUCGAUGAAGAACGCAGCGAAAUGCGAUAACUAGUGUGAAUUGCAGAAUUCCGUGAAUCAUCGAGUCUUUGAACGCACAUUGCGCCCCCUGGUAUUCCGGGGGGCAUGCCUGUCCGAGCGUCAUUGCUGCCCAUCAAGCACGGCUUGUGUGUUGGGUCGUCGUCCCCUCUCCGGGGGGGACGGGCCCCAAAGGCAGCGGCGGCACCGCGUCCGAUCCUCGAGCGUAUGGGGCUUUGUCACCCGCUCUGUAGGCCCGGCCGGCGCUUGCCGAACGCAAAUCAAUCUUUCCAGGUGACCUC
This 536-nucleotide ribosomal RNA is filed under the name Aspergillus flavus var. columnaris. Its description in RNAcentral is "eukaryotic LSU rRNA". The stretch from base 207 to 360 matches the Rfam family "5.8S ribosomal RNA". Lineage: Eukaryota; Fungi; Ascomycota; Eurotiomycetes; Eurotiales; Aspergillaceae. The record is from RNAcentral.